UACAUACUUCCUCCGUCCAACAAAGGAUGUCUCAACUUGGAUUAAAUUUAAAUGCAUCUAUACACUAAGUCAUGUCUAGAUACAUUCAAAUUUUGACAAACUUGAGACAUCUUUUCUUGGACGGAGGGAGUAUCAU
This is a non-coding RNA of Brachypodium distachyon (stiff brome), 136 nucleotides long. The record is from Rfam. NCBI's taxonomy places the organism in Eukaryota, Viridiplantae, Streptophyta, Magnoliopsida, Poales, Poaceae.